RNAcentral lists this ribosomal RNA (319 nucleotides) under uncultured eukaryote. Its description in RNAcentral is "partial 18S ribosomal RNA". It matches the Rfam family "Eukaryotic small subunit ribosomal RNA", at positions 1470 to 1796 of the family's 1831-position model. The record is from RNAcentral.
CCCUUAGAUGUUCUGGGCAGCACGCGCGCUACAAUGGUCUUCGCAAACGGAUGCAUUCUCGAAGGAGAAUGCCAAUCUUGGAAUCUAUGCCUUGGUCGGGACAGUUGCUUGCAAUUUUUCGACUCGAACCAGGAAUUCCUUGUAAUCGUGAUUCAUCACAUCACGAUGAAUAAGUCCCUGCCCUUUGUACACACCGCCCGUCGCUCCUACCGAUCGAAGAGUUAGGUGAAUUGUUUUGAUCGAUAAGAUUUGACUAUGGUCAACUCUCGUUGUGAAAUUCUGUGAAUCUGACUGUUUAGAGGAAGGAAAAGUCGUAACA